Molecule: ribosomal RNA, 482 nt
Filed under: uncultured bacterium
Lineage: Bacteria
Description: bacterial SSU rRNA
Rfam family: Bacterial small subunit ribosomal RNA
Source: RNAcentral
GAUGAACGCUGGCGGCGUGCCUAAUACAUGCAAGUCGAACGAGGUGCUUUUGUAGCAAUACGAGAGUAUCCUAGUGGCGAACGGGUGAGUAACGCGUUGGUGACCUACCCAAAGUGUGGGAUAACAGUCCGAAAGGAUUGCUAAUACCGCAUGUGGUCUUCGGGUUUAGAAACUGAUGACUAAAGGAGCAAUUCGCUUUGGGAGGGACCUGCGUCCCAUCAGCUAGUUGGUGAGGUAAUGGCUCACCAAGGCUACGACGGGUAGGGGACCUGAGAGGGUGACCCCCCACAAUGGAACUGAAACACGGUCCAUACACCUACGGGUGGCAGCAGUAGGGAAUAUUGCACAAUGGGCGAAAGCCUGAUGCAGCAACGCCGCGUGUGCGAUGAAGGCCUUGGGUCGUAAAGCACUUUUCUGGGAGAUGAGCAAGGACAGUAUACUCAGGAAUAAGUCUCGGCUAACUACGUGCCAGCAGCCGCGGU